CCUACGGGCGGCAGCAGUGAGGAAUAUUGGUCAAUGGGCGCGAGCCUGAACCAGCCAAGUAGCGUGAAGGAUGACUGCCCUACGGGUUGUAAACUUCUUUUAUAAAGGAAUAAAGUGAGGCACGUGUGCCUUUUUGUAUGUACUUUAUGAAUAAGGAUCGGCUAACUCCGUGCCAGCAGCCGCGGUAAUACGGAGGAUCCGAGCGUUAUCCGGAUUUAUUGGGUUUAAAGGGAGCGUAGAUGGGUUGUUAAGUCAGUUGUGAAAGUUUGCGGCUCAACCGUAAAAUUGCAAUUGAUACUGGCAGUCUUGAGUGCACACAGGGAUGCCGGAAUUCAUGGUGUAGCGGUGAAAUGCUUAGAUAUCAUGAAGAACUCCGAUCGCGAAGGCAAGUGUCCGGGGUGCAACUGACGCUGAGGCUCGAAAGUGCGGGUAUCAAACAGGAUUAGAUACCCUUGUAGUC
This 460-nucleotide ribosomal RNA is filed under the name uncultured bacterium. Its description in RNAcentral is "partial 16S ribosomal RNA". It matches the Rfam family "Bacterial small subunit ribosomal RNA", at positions 338 to 795 of the family's 1533-position model. The record is from RNAcentral.